UGUCCUCUAGUCCUGGCACACUGCUAAACAGUUGAGGGCAUUGAGGCCCAGAGAAGACAAGGAAUUUGGGGAAGGUGAUAGCUUAUAGACCCAUUGCCUGGUUUUAGAAUCCAUGGGUCAACACCCCAUUUUGUUAGAUGAGAUUGGUUUAGUUCAAUGUCCUGGUUGGUAUGAGAGGCAAUCCAGCCUAGUGGAAAGAGUUUGGCUGUUGAGUUAGACAAAAUCUAGCCCCACCAUGUACCAGUUGGAGCACUAGGCAAUAUGCUUCAACCAUCUUGGCUUUGGGCUCUUCCAUACAACGGAGUUUUCACUUCUGUCUCAUCUCUAGGAGACUUCAUAUUGCAGAGUUGCAGAAUGAGAACUGGGAGACACACAUGUCCCACAUGGUGUCUUCAUUUUUUUGCUUUUAAUUGAAUUUGUUGCAGACAUUUAACAAUUUAUAUAAACCCUGAUGUCUAGCUCCUCUUGGCAAGUCAGAAGUCCUGGCAGCACCCGUUAGCAGGAGCAAACAGCUGCCCCCUUGGAUGGAAGACAAGCCUCCCAAUGUGGCACAGUCCCCUCCUUUCUCCGUUCUUUUCUUACAGCUGGUCUGCUUCGCUCCUUGACCCACCUACCUGACCUCAGUAAGCAUGUCCAUUUUCAGGGCCUCCUGCGGAGAUGAGAGCCAUGGGAUUGUUUUCUCCAGACAGAUGACUUUUUCCUGUUAGCUUCACAGGAGAUUUAGGAGGCACGAGGAUAGUAAGAUGAAAAUGGAGCAAUAUGGGUACAGCAACAUAGAUGCUGCAACUUCCCGAGUCACCUCUGCCCCAGCACAAGGCAGAAAGAAGAGGGAGAGGUUUUCAGAUUUUAUGGUGCUAUUGUCCAGACCACUCUCAAGGAUCAUGGGAUCCCCUACGUGCCAUAUCCUUUGCAGGUAGUAGCCACAUCUAGCACAAUGUUGUAAAUCCCUAGAAUGAGAGGAAAUCCAUGGGCUCUCCAUUAGAAAAGACAUACAAAUAAUUAAUAAUUAAUAAUGAUGAUAAUGAUAAUAAUGAGAGGAAACAGGAUAAAUAAAUUUUAGAAAAAAGUCAAAUUUUUUAAAAGCCAAAAACAAAGGCAAUGAGAAAGGGAGCAGAAAGAAGGUAACAAAAACCAUUGGCAUCACAUGUCCUCUGAAAUAGGGACAAAAUGUGGGGAAAAUAGGGUGUCUGGGGAACUGAGCUUGAAUUGGGGGACUUCAUAUGGACUUUUCAUGUUCUGGGCUUGGGACAGGUGCUUGAGACUGAACUUUUGGGUGCUAAUGUCAGGGGAAGCUCCAGAAUUUUUCUUACCAACUAGAAAAUGUUGCGAAGAAAGUCUACACAUAAUAAUAUAGUAGAACCUAGAGAGUUUACAUGUAAUAUUUGUUUUGACCAUUGAAUUAUAAGGAUCCAUGAUAGGCAGAAGAUCUUUUGCUCAGGAAAGGAUCAUAAUUGAGGGUUUAAAGCUGGUAGACAAGAAAAACUCAUUCACUCACUCAUUUAUUCAUUUUUUGAAAAACACUUAUUGACCACCUACUAAGUCCCAGGUCCUACAUCAGGUACUGAGUUUAUAUCUAUGAACAAGACAUAGUCUAGAUACUCAAGAUGGCUCACCUUCUAGAGAGAGAGAGAACCAUCAACAGAUGAGCAUUCCUUAUGCAGACUGAUGAGAUGUGAGAUAGGAGAAGUAUAAAGUUCUGAGAACACACUGGGGAGGAGCACCAACUCAGCCAUGAGAGUACCUUGGUAGGUGAAGUGGAGUGUUUGAUGCCAGGAACACACUUUGAUUAACUUUCGUUGUUCUCAAUAGUUAACAUACAUAUAAUGAAGUAAUUAAAAAGGUCUGUGUGUGUGUGUGUGUGUGUGUGCGUGUGUGUAUGCAUGUAAAAAAUUAUCCAGAACUAGGGCGCCUGGGUAGUACAGCCAGCUAGGCGUCUUACUCUUGGUCUUGGCUGAAGUCAUGAUCUCGGGGUCGUGAGAUCAAGUCCUGCAUCAGGUUCUUCACUGAGCAUGGAGUCUGCUUAAGACUCCAUCUCCCUCUGCCCCUCUCCCUCUCUCAAAUAAAUAAAUAAAAUCUUUAAAAUAUACAUAUUUAAAAAAUGAUCCAGAACAGAAAGAUAAGUAUUGAUAUGGUGGUAUUUAAAUACUUGAGAAUUCUAGUAGUUCUCUUAUUAUAUCUUUAUAAAUGUCAUGCAUUUAAUUAGCAACUAUGGAGUAGGAAUUGACACAGCAGGUCUGGUUGUUGAGUCAUUACAUGUUCAGGGAAGCCUGGAACCAUGACUGACCCUUGGGCAACUCCUUGUGUUCCCUGUGUUACUGAAUGACGAUGUUGUGUAUGUCCAGGUAAAGGAGGCAUACUGUACCAGCUAGUCAAGACUUUGAAUGAUUAUUUAGCAAGAGUCACAAUGUAUCUGGAUUCAUUAUUGGGGGAGUUUUGUUAGCAUGGAUAGCUGCACAGAAGUAUGUGCCUAUAUGAUUAGCCCUCCUUGAAAGCUUCAUAUCCUGAUAUUGUAAUGGCCUUCCCUGGGCAGAGGCAUUCUACACGUUACUGUAGUUUAUUUCUAGAGAAAAAAUAUAGACUGCAUGGCCCCAGAUGGGGCAGGACUCAGAAGCCUAUGUCUCACAUCCCUGGGCUCCCCCAAAGUGUAUCCUUAUCCUCUUGCCUUUGCUCUGAAUUUUUGCUAUAAUAAACCUUAGCUGUAAGAAUAAGUGAGUCUGGGCAGCCCGGGUGGCUCAGCGGUUUUGCACCUGCCUUCGGCCUGGGGCGUGGUCCUGGAGACCUGAGAUGGAGUCCCACGUCAGGUCCUCCCUGCAUGGAGCCUGCUUCUCCCUCUGCCUGUGUCUCUGCCUCUCUCUCUCCGUGUCUCUCAUGAGUAAAUAAAUAAAAUCUUUAAAUAAAAAAAAUAAGUGAGUCCUUAUAGCAAGUCACCAAACUUAAGUUGGUCAUGGUCUGCUGAAAUAGCCUAAAAGAUAUACUGAGCAGCAUUAUGAUUCAGAGAAGCCAUAUGAUAGUUAAGGUAGGGUGAGGAAAGAUGAGGGUAUUAGGUGUUGCUUUUUACUUUAUUAUUUUCAACUAGGAGAAAUAUAAAGUUCUUUUAUUGUUUUAAAUCAAAUUCAAUCUUCUUGAAAUCUUCACUCAUCCAGGUAAAUGCAAAUUCUAAUAUUUAUCAUGACAGGCUGCUUUGUAUCUUAGGGUCAUAGAAGAGUCUUGGGGUCUAAACCAGUCCAGAGUUCUGAGAAAAGCCUUUGACCUUUAGUCAACACUAAUUAUUGAUGGCCUGCUCAUUGUCUAUGAAUGUAGACAGCUCCACUGUCCUCUGCCAAACCAGGGAACAGAAAUGUCUGCUCAAACACUGUCCAACAUGUGUAAGCAACCAAGAAACCACUCCCCUUGAGAUUCUGACUUCUCCUUAGAGUCUCUCAUGGUGAGGUUUGCAUCACUGCUUAUAGGACUUGCAGAAUCUUGCCUUCUCUCAAGAAAACUCCUUCUCCAACCCCAUUGGGAUGUAUGAUUUUAUUCAUCCCAACCCUUGGAUCUCCCCCACCCUGGAAAACUUACCUCUGACUUGCACAGAUGAAGCUUCCAAUAACAAAAACCACCUUAGAGAGAGAUUGUUUUCUAGGGGUCUGGUAACAUCUGCUUUGGGCCCUGUCACAGAAGCCACUAAUAAAUAUUUCAGUCAAGGUAAUAGAAAGUUUUAGCUUCCUUCUUGGGAUGUAAAGGAGGAAUAACUUACAUCAGAAAAGACAAUAUAGAAAUGAAUCUUACUGCAAAUUAGCUUGUACACUGGGGAUACUCAGUCUCUACUUAAUAGAGGAAAUUAGUCUAGUGGACAAAUUACUCCAGCACAAAGUUAAGGGCUAAUGCAAGUGUCAUAACAAAGGUGUAUACACACUAAAAGCAGUAUAGGGAACAGGAGGGUUUGGGGGACAUUGUGGAGGUGCUACUGUAAUGGAACUCAAUGGGUAGGUUGGACUUGGACCAAGAGAGGCCACUUACUGUCACUGUCCAAACCCACCCAAGAAUCCACAGUUCAAGUCACGGGACCAAAAACAGUUACCAUCAACUAAAAUCAAAUGUUUAUUUCCU
Molecule: long non-coding RNA, 4089 nt
Organism: Canis lupus familiaris (dog)
Lineage: Eukaryota; Metazoa; Chordata; Mammalia; Carnivora; Canidae
Exons: 3
Source: RefSeq, a predicted model, not a curated record